GGAGUUUGGGCCGUGUCUCAGUCCCAAUGUGGCCGUACACCCUCUCAGGCCGGCUACUGAUCGUCGCCUUGGUGGGCCGUUACCUCACCAACUAGCUAAUCAGACGCGGGACCAUCCUAUACCACCGGAGUUUUUCACACUGCUUCAUGCGAAGCUGUGCGCUUAUGCGGUAUUAUCAGUCGUUUCCAACUGCUAUCCCCCAGUAUAGGGCAGGUUUCCCACGCGUUACUCACCCGUCCGCCACUAAGUGAUUCAAAUGAGUCAAUCUGGUGCAAGCACCUUCAAUCCUCGGGAGAACCACUCCGUUCGACUUGCAUGUGUUAAGCACGCCGCCAGCGUUUAUC
RNAcentral lists this ribosomal RNA (344 nucleotides) under uncultured Coprococcus sp. RNAcentral describes it as "partial 16S ribosomal RNA". The record is from RNAcentral. Lineage: Bacteria; Bacillati; Bacillota; Clostridia; Lachnospirales; Lachnospiraceae.